GAGUUUGAUCCUGGCUCAGAUUGAACGCUGGCGGAAUGCUUUACACAUGCAAGUCGAGCGGCAGCGCGGGGCAACCUGGCGGCGAGCGGCGAACGGGUGAGUAAUGCAUCGGAACAUGUCCAUGUCGUGGGGGAUAGCCCGGCGAAAGCCGGAUUAAUACCGCAUACGCCCGAGAGGGGAAAGUGGGGGACCGCAAGGCCUCACGCGAUUGGGUUGGCCGAUGUCCGAUUAGCUAGUUGGCGGGGUAAGAGCCCACCAAGGCGAUGAUCGGUAGCUGGUCUGAGAGGAUGAUCAGCCACACUGGGACUGAGACACGGCCCAGACUCCUACGGGAGGCAGCAGUGGGGAAUUUUGGACAAUGGGGGAAACCCUGAUCCAGCCAUUCCGCGUGAGUGAAGAAGGCCUUCGGUUGUAAG
RNAcentral lists this ribosomal RNA (416 nucleotides) under uncultured beta proteobacterium. RNAcentral's name for it is "bacterial SSU rRNA". It matches the Rfam family "Bacterial small subunit ribosomal RNA", at positions 9 to 429 of the family's 1533-position model. The record is from RNAcentral. Lineage: Bacteria; Pseudomonadati; Pseudomonadota; Betaproteobacteria.